GCAUCGAUGGUUCAGUGGUAGAAUGCUCGCCUGCAUCAUGGAUGGCCUGGGUUCGAUUCCCGGCCGAUGCA
RNAcentral lists this transfer RNA (71 nucleotides) under Daphnia magna. It matches the Rfam family "tRNA". Rfam says of the family: Transfer RNA (tRNA) molecules are approximately 80 nucleotides in length. Their secondary structure includes four short double-helical elements and three loops (D, anti-codon, and T loops). Lineage: Eukaryota; Metazoa; Arthropoda; Branchiopoda; Diplostraca; Daphniidae. The record is from Rfam by way of RNAcentral.